Long non-coding RNA from Talpa occidentalis (Iberian mole), 461 nucleotides. RefSeq lists it as uncharacterized. NCBI's taxonomy places the organism in Eukaryota, Metazoa, Chordata, Mammalia, Eulipotyphla, Talpidae. The transcript has 3 exons. The record is from RefSeq and is a predicted model, not a curated record.
CUCUGGCACGAGCACCCUCUGGAUGCCUCCAUGUUCUUCCGGAGAGUGCUGGGCGGAAGUAACCACACAGGCCCAUCUCUCCUUGGAAGAGUGUGUCGAGCUGGUGCCGGGGGAACCUCCUGGUAAACUGGAACGGAGGCUGAUCGUGGAGGCGGCUUUGCAAGCGCUGUUCGCUGGGGCUGACUGCGGGGCAGCUCUGCCAACAACCUACGUGAUCCUCAUUAAAGGUCAUGCUGAAGAAACUCACAUUUAAUGACUGACGAUCCAGGUGACUGAGCAGCCUCGGAGUGUAUCCCAGUCAGAGAGGGGGAGACAAGAUCUGAUUUCACUUGAACCAAGUCCAGCAUCCUGCUUGUGAAACCCAGAGAGGGACAGACCCCCAAACUUCCUGCUGUCUUUGAACCAUUUUCGCGGAAAAGGCAUCAAACCCCCACUUACCCUUGGCAGACCAGGGAUCCGAG